UGGGGAAUCUUCCGCAAUGGACGAAAGUCUGACGGAGCAACGCCGCGUGAGUGAUGACGGCCUUCGGGUUGUAAAGCUCUGUUAAUCGGGACGAAUGGUUCUUGUGCAAAUAGUGCGAGGAUUUGACGGUACCGGAAUAGAAAGCCACGGCUAACUACGUGCCAGCAGCCGCGGUAAUACGUAGGUGGCAAGCGUUGUCCGGAAUUAUUGGGCGUUAAACGCGCGCAGGCGGAUUGGUCAGUCUGUCUUAAAAGUUCGGGGCUUAACCCAGUGAUGGGAUGGAAACUGCCAAUCUAGAGUAUCGGAGAGGAAAGUGGAAUUCCUAGUGUAGCGGUGAAAUGCGUAGAUAUUAGGAAGAACACCAGUGGCGAAGGCGACUUUCUGGACGAAAACUGACGCUGAGGCGCGAAAGCCAGGGGAGCGAACGGG
Molecule: ribosomal RNA, 429 nt
Filed under: bacterium
Lineage: Bacteria
Description: partial 16S ribosomal RNA
Rfam family: Bacterial small subunit ribosomal RNA
Source: RNAcentral